AUUCCAGCUCCAAUAGCGUAUAUUAAAGUUGUUGCAGUUAAAAAGCUCGUAGUUGGAUUUCUGGUGGGAGCGUUGGGCCGGCCCUAAGGGUCUGAGCUCAAAUGUUUUCCGCCAUCCUUGGAGGGAUGUUGUCUGGCAUUAAGUUGUCGGGCUUCCGAUCUCCAUCGUUUACUGUGAAAAAAUUAGAGUGUUCAAAGCAGGCUUAUGCCGUUGAAUACAUUAGCAUGGAAUAAUAAGAUAGGACCUUGGUACUAUUUUGUUGGUUUGCGCACCUAGGUAAUGAUUAAUAGGGACAGUUGGGGAUAUUACUAUUUCGUUGUCAGAGGUGAAACUCUUGGAUUUACGAAAGAGUAACUACUGCGAAAGCAUUUAUCAAGGAUGUUUUCAUUG
Molecule: ribosomal RNA, 390 nt
Filed under: Bolidophyceae sp.
Lineage: Eukaryota; Bolidophyceae
Description: partial small subunit ribosomal RNA
Rfam family: Eukaryotic small subunit ribosomal RNA
Source: RNAcentral